GAGUUUGAUCCUGGCUCAGAAUGAACGUUGGCGGCGUGCUUAACACAUGCAAGUCGAACGAUAAAGUUCCUUCGUGGAACGAGUAUUAUGGCGCAACGGUGAGUAACGCGUAAGUAAUCUACCUUGGUUUUGGAAUAACUACGGGAAGCUGUAGCUAAUACCAGAUACGUUUAUUCUGUUACGGCUGUAUACCGGGAAAUGACCUCUUCUUGAAAGUUAUCGUGCUAAGAGGAGCUUGCGUACCAUUAGCUAGUUGGUAGGGUAAUGGCCUACCAAGGCGUCUAAGGUUAGCGGGUCUGAGAGGAUGAUCCGCCACACUGGAACUGGAACACGGACCGCACUCCUACGGGAGGUGCAGUGAGGAAUAUUGCGCAAUGGGGGAAACCCUGAGCAGCGACGCCGCGUGGAUGUGAAGGCCUUAGGGUCGUGGAAUCCUGUCACAUGGGAAUAAAUGUAUGAGGGAAUAAUACCUUUUAUACUUGACGGUACCAUCAAAGGAAGCACCGGCUAACUCCGUGCCAGCAGCCGCGGUAAUACGGAGGGUGCGAACGUUGUUCGGAAUUACUGGGCGUAAAGCGCGCGUAAGCGGUUUGUUAAGUCCUAUGUGAAAACCCAAUGCUCAACCUUGGACGUGCAUUUGAAACUAGCAGACUUGAGUACUGGAGGGGAUGGUGGAAUUCCCGGUGUAGAGGUGAAAUUCGUAGAUAUCGGGAGGAAUACCGGUGGCGAAAGCGACCAUCUGGCCAGAUACUGACGSUKAGGUGCGAAAGCGUGGGGAGCAACAGGAUUAGAUACCCUGGUAGUGCACGCCGUAAACGAUGUCAACUAGGUGUUGGGGGGUUUAUCGUCUCAGUGCAGGAGCUAACGCAAUAAGUUGACCGCCUGGGGAGUACGGUUGCAAGAUUAAAACUUAAAGGAAUUGAAGGGGGACCGCACAAGCGGUGGAGUCUGUGGUUUAAUUUGACGCAACGGGCAGAACCUUAACUUGUCUUGACCUCCCGGGAACCUCUUUGAAAUAAGAGAGUGCCCCUUUGGAGGAUCUUGAAGCCGGGUGUUCCAUGGCGUUGUUCAGUUGGUUUCGUGGGAUGUUGGGUUAAUUCCGGCAACGGGGGCAACCUUUUCCUUUAGUUCCCACCAUUUAGUUGGGCCAUUUUGAGGGACUGCCGGUGUCAAACCGGAGGAAGGUGGGGAUGACGUCAAGUCCUCAUGGCCUUUAUGACCAGGGCUACACACGUACUACAAUGGCGUGUACAAAGGGCAGCCAUUUCGCGAGAAGGAGCGAAUCUCUAAAAUAUUUUUCCGUCUGGGUUGGAGUUUGCAAAUUGAAUCCCUGAAGGUGGAAUUCAUUGUAAUUGUAGAAUCGCCUGUUAUGGUGAGUACGUUCCCGGGCCUUGUACACUCCCCCCGUCUCACCCCGGGAGAUGGUUGUUCACGAAGAAGUUGAGAGAACCCUUUGGGGGGGCUGACUACCAAGGUAGAGUUGGUAACUGGGGUGAAGUCGUAACAAGGUAGCC
Molecule: ribosomal RNA, 1514 nt
Filed under: uncultured bacterium
Lineage: Bacteria
Description: bacterial SSU rRNA
Rfam family: Bacterial small subunit ribosomal RNA
Source: RNAcentral